GACGAACGCUGGCGGCGUGCUUAACACAUGCAAGUCGAACGGAAAGGCCCUGCUUUUGUGGGGUGCUCGAGUGGCGAACGGGUGAGUAACACGUGAGUAACCUGCCCUUGACUUUGGGAUAACUUCAGGAAACUGGGGCUAAUACCGGAUAGGAGCUCCUGCUGCAUGGUGGGGGUUGGAAAGUUUCGGCGGUUGGGGAUGGACUCGCGGCUUAUCAGCUUGUUGGUGGGGUAGUGGCUUACCAAGGCUUUGACGGGUAGCCGGCCUGAGAGGGUGACCGGCCACAUUAGGACUAAGAUACGGACCAGACUCCUACGGGAGGCAACAGUGGGAAAUAUUGCACAAUGGGCCGAAGCCUGAUGCAACAACGCCGCGUUCGGAAUGACGGCCUUCGGGUUGUAAACCGCUUUCGCCUGUGACGAAGCGUGAGUGACGGUAAUGGGUAAAGAAGCACCGGCUAACUACGUG
Molecule: ribosomal RNA, 468 nt
Filed under: uncultured bacterium
Lineage: Bacteria
Description: partial 16S ribosomal RNA
Rfam family: Bacterial small subunit ribosomal RNA
Source: RNAcentral